AGUGAAUAGAUACCCGGGUAGUCCAUGCCGUAAACGUUGGGCACUAGGUGUGGGGGACAUUCCACGUUUUCCGCGCCGUAGCUAAACGCAUUAAGUGCCCCGCCUGGGGAGUACGGCCGCAAGGCUAAAACUCAAAGGAAUUGACGGGGGCCCGCACAAGCGGCGGAGCAUGCGGAUUAAUUCGAUGCAACGCGAAGAACCUUACCAAGGCUUGACAUGGACCGGAUCGCUGCAGAAAUGUGGUUUCUCCUUUUGGGGCCGGUUCACAGGUGGUGCAUGGUUGUCGUCAGCUCGUGUCGUGAGAUGUCGGGUUAAGUCCCGCAACGAGCGCAACCCUCGUUCCAUGUUGCCAGCACGUGAUGGUGGGGACUCAUGGGAGACUGCCGGGGUCAACUCGGAGGAAGGUGGGGACGACGUCAAAUCAUCAUGCCCCUUAUGUCUUGGGCUUCACGCAUGCUACAAUGGCCGGUACAAAGGGUUGCGAUACUGUGAGGUGGAGCUAAUCCCAAAAAGCCGGUCUCAGUUCGAAUUGGGGUCUGCAACUC
This 545-nucleotide ribosomal RNA is filed under the name uncultured bacterium. Its description in RNAcentral is "bacterial SSU rRNA". It matches the Rfam family "Bacterial small subunit ribosomal RNA", at positions 774 to 1313 of the family's 1533-position model. The record is from RNAcentral.